CUUAAAAAUACCCUGACAUGCAUAUAAAGACUGCGUUCCAAAGGUUAAUGCUCCUUAAUCCUGAAGGGAGUGGACAGAUCCUGCAUGACCCACGGUGCCUUCUCACUUCCUGCUGGAGUUAUUGCAAAAGGAAUCCAGGAGACAAUGGGGCUGCUGAACACUUUCCGGAAUCGGGGCAUGCCUGCUAUGGUAUCAGGGGCCCUUUUGCUCGGGGGCCUUUCCUGGGUUCCCCUCCAGGGUCACCAGCAUGGGUCACACUUCCUUCCCCCAAGCUGGCUUGUUCCAUCAGGCCUUUCAGGGAAACCAGCGGCUGCCGGUGGUUGAGACUUCUGCUCAUAUGUAGCCCUGGCGGAAAGAAAGCACUCUAGAAAGGGAUUAUAUAAUGGAUUGUAAUGACACUGCUUAUGGUGGUUGUUAUUUUGAAAUGUGUCCUGGAGUAAUAAUAUAUUUCAGCACUCAGUAUAGAUUUCACAUUCUCAAGCAAAAUCAAGUGUAGUAAGGAGGGAGCUCUCUGCCCCUAAAAGCUCUUGUUCUGAUGUCAUGCCUACAAUCCUAUCUCUUCCUAUAGGUUAUUUAAAUGUCUCCUGAGGUAACCAGUUGCAUGUAGCCAAACCCCUUUUUUAAUUGAGUUUUCUUUUUUAAGAUGAGUCAUAUAUCCCCCCAAAAAAGCACCAAUUCAGAAUAAAGGCAGGAACAUUCUAGACAUUUUCGAGACACCAGUCUAAGGGCAGAAAGGAAAUUUCAUAACUAUCAUUAUGUAUUAUGGUACAUCCAGUCCCAGGCCCACAUCUCUUAGAUAACCCCCCUCAUCCUAUACCCCGUCCCCCCACUAUCCCUACCUCCCUGAUGUUAUCUGUUCACGGUUUUGUGCUGCUGGCUCUCAUUCUGGAUUUGUAUGGGUAACCUCUCCUCUGGGCACUGGUAACCCACCCACCUCUAAGGGUCAGUUGAAUAAUGCACUAAGGUGAGUGGUCAUGGUUCUCAACAGAGGUGACUUUGCACUUGAGGGGAUAUUUGACAAUGCAGUUUUGGUCAUCACGCUUGGUGGGAGGAUGCUACUGGCCAGUGGGACAGAGGCCGGGGUGCUGCUCUACACCCUACAAUGCAUGGCAAAGGUCCCCCACACAAUGUCAAUAGUGCCUAGGCGGAGAAACCCUGCCUUAACCUGUGAUUGAUUUAUAGUUUUCCUCUUAAAUUCCACUUUUUCCGUGAAGCUUCCUCUGAAUGACCCUGUUUUCUCCCUUCUUUGAACUCCACUCUACAUUUGGCACUAAGCCAUGCACUGCAUCGCAUUGUUCUUUAGAAUUUGUGUGUGGACAGCUCAUCUCCCUAAUUGGAUGUGAGGUUUCCUGACAGCAGGGCUCAUCUCCCCUUCCUUUGUGUGUUUAACUGUACUCGACCCAGUGCUCUGCACUUAGCGUUUCCUCAAUACAUUCCAGAUAAAUGAACAUAUCUUCAGUGGACGACUGAAUUCUGAAGUUUGAAGUUGAUAUAUUGGGAUGAUGGCAAGGAUUCUCCAAGAAACUUAGAAAUAGGGUAAAACAACAAUAAUAAAAAGUUACUCUUAGAGAUCUAGAGAAAUUAAAUAAGCAUAUAAUGGAAGUGAACAGCAUUCUCUCUGGUGCCCACAGAAAUAGCCAUUUGAUAAUUGGUUCAUAAUAAUCUUAACAUGCAGCACAGAAAAAAAGAAUAAUAGAAUUAAUGAUUUAUGUUAAAUCUUAGUUGGAGGAUUGAAAUGACUGAAUUUGGGAGACACAGAUAUCUGUCUAGUGUUUCCUGUGAGACGAUGGGAGUUUCAUUAAACCUUAUCUUUGCUUAGAUGACAUGAUCCUCAAGACAUUCUCCACCCAUUUGCUUCAGCUCCACGCCAACCAAGCAACAUUCAGAUUAAUAACCCAGCCUCCUAGCUGCUCAGGACAUGGAAAGGGGUGUCUUAGAUGGAAGGGGCAAGCAUUCAGGACACUGGACAUAAAUAUCACCCAUAAUAAAUUAGUAAAUUGACCUUUGGUUUACACAUUAAUCUGUGAAGUGAGUGUGUGAGUCUCUCCCCAAGAUCCUGACUCCAUCUGGGAUUAUUGAUAAGGGCCAGUUUUUGACUGAAUAGACAAGGGGCCAGACUCUGGUCUGUGACUCAUUCACCAAAGCAGUGCCAUGUUGGAAACUGUUUGACCAGUAGCUAUCUUGCUUUCCCCCUGUGACAUCCCUAUUUUGCCUCAAGCCUUUCUUUCCAGCUCCAACAUAUCUUAACAUGGUACAAUUUUAAGUCCCGUUCCCGAUUCUGGAAUUACCACUUUCCCCCCCCCACACCUCCAAAGUCCCUUAAAAAUUCCAUUUAUACUUUAUUUAGAAAUAUUCUGAUUGAAAAAAAUAAAAUAAAAAAAUAAAAAAAACCCACAUGCGGCUUCUUUUUAAUAAAGGAAACUAAGUGGGAAGGUCAAAUUGCUCUUAGAACUUUUUAUAGGCCUGGCAGCCCUGGAAACAUUUCAUCAUUAAAGAACGUGUGACAAGUCACUGGGACCAUUUACUGAGGGUUUCUCAGGGACAGACCAAGAAUAGCAAAAAGGAUCUUUUCUAAAAGACUCCAUGAUUUGACUCGGUUUUCCUGAGAACAGCUAGGACUAAUUAGAAAUAACUUGCAGCUUGUAUUCGUUACAUUUGAGUAUUUGUUAACAAGCUCUUGUGUGCAAAACAAAGAUUGAUUUCAACUUGAUUCAUCCCUCCAGUCCUCUUUCCAUGCUUGCCUCCAUCUUUUCACCAAAAUGCAAGCAUUUCUUGUUUAAUGACAUUAAUUAACAGAGGAAGUUGGGCUGAAAAUAUCUUGAAUGCUCCACCUAAUUAUAAUCCCAGUCAUGAAUGCUGGAGAAAAUGUGGCGUCUUAAUAAAAAGAAAACAGUCUAGAACAAUAUUAUGCAGUUUAUAAAUUCCACUGAACCACUGUACAAAUAAACAAUGCUACUGAAUCACACAACAAAUCAUCUCACAAUUAGGCCACACAAGACCAGCUGCUCUACAAAGGAGCCCGUGAGCCAAAGAGGAAAACUUUGAAGAUAAAUAUUGCCAUAUGUGAAGAGAAAAAGAAAAAAAUCCCAACAAACCUUAAUUGCACGGAGCAUCGUUUUCCAAUGCUAUUUGCCGUGGGAAUAAAGGAUUUCUUGUUGUGACCCAUG
RNAcentral lists this long non-coding RNA (3167 nucleotides) under Canis lupus familiaris (dog). RNAcentral describes it as "lncRNA (ENSCAFG00000052956.1)". Lineage: Eukaryota; Metazoa; Chordata; Mammalia; Carnivora; Canidae. The record is from RNAcentral.